ACUUCUGACCUAGUCAAUUAAAUAUUCACCGCGCAGCAUUAUACCACACAGUUUUCUGUUUGUUCCGUGUCCGGAGUUGCAAAUCCUUGUUUCUACUGCGAGCAAAAUCAUGGUCCUCCUCAAGCUGCUCCUGACAGGGGCACUCCUUUGCUGUGGAGCUGCUCGAACGACCAAUAAGCCAGCUUCCUGCCGCUACUGGUGCCGGAGUUCAGUGUUUCCACCAUCGUACUAUUGCUGUCCUGACGGAGGUGUGAAGCGAGGGAGCUGUCCGAUAAUCGUUCAGUGUACCCGGUAUAUCCGGCAGAGUUUGUUACGAUGCUCAUCAGACAGUGACUGCGCUGGAAACAAUAAAUGCUGCUACGAGCCGUGUUAUUGCACCUACGUGUGUCUCACUCCUGUCGUACAACCCCCUAAAACAAAUACAACAUCAUAAUAAGAACCACUGUCAAUGACAUACUCCAACACCACAAAAGUGUCAACUGAAAUAAAAAAGUAAAUUCCUAAGCACUUCACAAAUUGAAUCGUUACUUAGUUUAGACAUCUGGUUGUAGAUUCACUGAAGUACAGAGUUGUACAAGACAUA
Long non-coding RNA from Cryptotermes secundus, 583 nucleotides. RefSeq lists it as uncharacterized. NCBI's taxonomy places the organism in Eukaryota, Metazoa, Arthropoda, Insecta, Blattodea, Kalotermitidae. The transcript has 3 exons. The record is from RefSeq and is a predicted model, not a curated record.